GACGGAGGAUGCAAGUGUUAUCCGGAAUCACUGGGCGUAAAGCGUCUGUAGGUGGUCAAAUAAGUCAACUGUUAAAUCUUGAGGCUCAACCUCAAAAUCGCAGUCGAAACUAUUAGACUAGAGUAUAGUAGGGGUAAAGGGAAUUUCCAGUGGAGCGGUGAAAUGCGUAGAUAUGUGGAGGAAUACCGAUGGCGAAGGCAGCCUCCUGGGCCAACACUGACGCUCAUGCACGAAAGCGUGGGGAGCAAACAGG
Molecule: ribosomal RNA, 253 nt
Filed under: uncultured bacterium
Lineage: Bacteria
Description: partial 16S ribosomal RNA
Rfam family: Bacterial small subunit ribosomal RNA
Source: RNAcentral